RNAcentral lists this ribosomal RNA (301 nucleotides) under uncultured bacterium. RNAcentral describes it as "partial 16S ribosomal RNA". It matches the Rfam family "Bacterial small subunit ribosomal RNA", at positions 509 to 807 of the family's 1533-position model. The record is from RNAcentral.
CAGCAGCCGCGGUAAUACGGAGGGUGCAAGCGUUAUCCGGAUUUAUUGGGUUUAAAGGGUCCGUAGGCGGACUUAUAAGUCAGUGGUGAAAGCCUGUCGCUUAACGAUAGAACUGCCAUUGAUACUGUAAGUCUUGAGUAUAUUUGAGGUAGCUGGAAUAAGUAGUGUAGCGGUGAAAUGCAUAGAUAUUACUUAGAACACCAAUUGCGAAGGCAGGUUACCAAGAUAUAACUGACGCUGAGGGACGAAAGCGUGGGUAGCGAACAGGAUUAGAUACCCCAGUAGUCCCUGUCUCUUAUAC